GCCUGGGUGGCUCAGUCGGUUGAGCAUCCGACUUCGGCUCAGGUCAUGAUCUCACGGUUUGUGAGUUCGAGCCCCACGUCGGGCU
This 85-nucleotide transfer RNA is filed under the name Felis catus (domestic cat). It matches the Rfam family "tRNA". From Rfam's summary of the family: Transfer RNA (tRNA) molecules are approximately 80 nucleotides in length. Lineage: Eukaryota; Metazoa; Chordata; Mammalia; Carnivora; Felidae. The record is from Rfam by way of RNAcentral.